CCAUGGGGCUGGAUAUACAAACCUGUGAAUCUCCUGCAUGAAGAAGCAGAAGCAAAUGAUUAUGUGUCAGAGCUGAUUAGAGAGAGUGGAGGGGGAGGGUCUAGAACAAAGCCUCACAGAACACCUACAGUUGGGACCAUGAUAGUUGGAUUAUGAGCCAGCAAAGAAGACAGAAGUUAGACAGCUAGGAGAACCAAGGGGCAGUAGCAUGUGUGUCUCUGGAGGGCCCAGUUGAAGCAAGAUGAUAUGAAUUUGCAUGUUCACGGUUAAUAUGAUCGUGGGACUUCCUCCAAAGGUGUUGACCAGCAGAUUUCUUGAAGAUGAAGAUGAAGCCUGUCCAACCACUUUCAUAUACAGGCAUACUUCAGAGAUAUUGACGGUUCAGUUUCAGAUACCUGAAAAUGGCAAACAUUGCAGUAAAAUUGGAUCAAUGAAGGCUGAGAGAUAGUGAAGAAUCUAGAAUGAAUCUUGCCAGCAUGAGGGACUUGGAGGAUGAUGCUGCCCAAUAAAAGAAGAGAUAAGGUAAAGAAUAACAAUUAAGAAAAAAAAUGCUACAUAAUUGGCCACACAUGACAAUGAAUAUGACAUUCUAUCCUAGUCAUCGCUUGCCUUUCUUUUUGAGGGAGAUGAGAAAAUUAAAAUUUAGAAGAGUCAAGUGACUUGUCUCAAGGAACAUUACUAAUGUGACACAUCUUGUACUGGGACCCAUCCACUUAAUCUAUGAUCUAUUAAUUUAGCACUAGAACACCACAGAUUUAGUGCCUUAAGAAAAAAAAUCUUUGACAGUUUUAGAGUUGGAAGACACUCAAGGAUCAGUUAAUACACAUUCCCCAUUUUACAAGUGAGGAAAGAGUUUGAGGGAGACACUAGUGUAGUGAGAAAAGUACUUUGGAAUGAGAGAACUGGGGUUUGGGUUC
Molecule: long non-coding RNA, 917 nt
Filed under: Monodelphis domestica (gray short-tailed opossum)
Lineage: Eukaryota; Metazoa; Chordata; Mammalia; Didelphimorphia; Didelphidae
Description: lncRNA (ENSMODG00000040893.1)
Source: RNAcentral